This is a long non-coding RNA of Camelus dromedarius (Arabian camel), 2116 nucleotides long. RefSeq lists it as uncharacterized. The record is from RefSeq and is a predicted model, not a curated record. Lineage: Eukaryota; Metazoa; Chordata; Mammalia; Artiodactyla; Camelidae. The transcript has 3 exons.
CGCAAGCCCAUCACGGCGCCCAUUGGCUCGGAGGACCCAGGGGGCGGGGCCAAGGCGUCCAUCGUGGCGGUCGCCCGCCCAGGCAGGGGGCGUCUGGGCAUUUUUCGCGCGGGCGACGGGCAGACGUCUCCGGUCUCUGGGCUGCUGAGGGGGCGGAGUCAUGGGCUCGUUGGAGGCAGAGUCAGACGGAGUUUCCUCAGUAAAUGGAUUUCCCCCCUCAAGCCUGACGCACUUUCACCUGGAAUGACAAGAGUUUAAUUCCAGACUGAGAGAGGUCCUGUCUGAGGAAUUUUUACUGAGACUGACGGAGUUUUACCUCCGCCGGACAGGCCCAGAGCAGAGCAGGAACUGGAGACUGCGGCCUUAGGUUCUGGGUCUGCAAUGGUCAGUAAGUCUCGUAGCUGGUGAUUGGAAGAUACGCAAGAAGUGUAAAGAUAGACGGGUUCCAGGCAAUUCUUUGGUGUUAUGAAGUCAGGAUCUUGCCUUGGUUUUGAUGACUUAGCUUCCGUUUGGUACAUCUGUUUUUGCAGAGUGUUUCAUGACUAAGUUCAGUAAAUGAUACUUACUUGAAGAACUGGAUUUACUCAAGUUCAACCUUCCCAGACACAUACACACCCGAGGCGCUGACUCCAAAAUAACAGCAACUGGAUCCCUCUCCCUUUGGUGAGGUGGCCCUUGCCUUUGGGUGAUGCUGUGAGUUUUUUUCAAGACCUGGCUCGUAAAAGACUGGAUUUCCGCAGAAUGGCCCAGGGACUCGCAACAUUAAAAAAAAAGAAAAUCUAUUUAUAGCUGACUUUGUGCAUCUGAUAUUCCCAUGGGGAAAGACAGCAAGCUGAACAUUUUCUAUUCUCUUCUCUCACAAUCUUUUUUUUUUUUCCAUGAAAACAGCCAGGAUUUAUGUGGUUCCAUGAGCCAGCUAGAUAAAAUAAAGACCAAACUCUGGUUUGGUGGAUAAAGGAGAUAUGAGAAGAGAAAAGCUUUGAGAGUGAAGAGGGAAUAGAAUUAGGAUUGCUUCCGAGAAGAUUGGAACAGAGACCAUCUAUCUUCCAUUUCCAGACCCUGUAAGAAUGGUCCUCACAACCGGGGGACGAGGGGCCUGGGCUUGUGACAUAGAUGGAUGGACUUCAGGCUGGUUUUCAGCUCCAACACACUAGUUAGGUUACCUUGGACAGGUUACUUACCCUCUCUGACCCUCAAUUUCCCUGUCAGUAAAAUGAGAAUCAGGGUUGAACAAGAUAAUGUGUUAAACACCAUUUGUGACACAGAGAAAGCACACAAGGCAUGUGAUGUACAUUGUUACCGAGGACAGUCGAUCCUCAACACCAAGUGCCAUUCCCACGUGCCUCCUGGUUUCCCAUUCAUCUCACUCUUUCUUCCAUCUUCUGAUAUUUGGUAGCUAAGAAGUUCGACGGGUCCCAGAAUGCUAAGCAGAACAAUGGAGGGUCCAAGUCUUUAAAAUAUGUCCAAGUAUAAAAUCUGAUCACUGGUCACAAGCAGGGAUGGGGUCUGUGAAGCAGCAGGUAUGUCGUAGUGAUGCACACUAGGUGAGUUUUCCCCAGUUGCUCCCUCUCCCAGCCAGAGAACAAAAUGCCCACUUGACCCCUGGGUGGGCCAGUCCUGGCCACCAGCUGCCAAUGACCGACUCUGUCAGUGUGACCUAAGACAACAUUCCCAGCAGAGGGCUGCAAACAUUUACAGACCCGUGACCUACGGUGAGAUUUGGGGGCAGGGCUUGGAUUCCGCCAUACCUGGGGGUGGGUGGCUUGUGGGAGCUGCACUGCACAGAGCAGGUGAGCGAGGCUGCAGGAUCUGGGAAAGAAGAGGUUGGGUUCUCCACUUUCAUAAAGGGACCCUGUUGUUUCAUACUAAACAAUCAUUUUCCAUUUGAAAAUGGGUUGUAUUUUCCAACUGAGAGCUCCAGAAUUAUAGUUGAUUACAGUCCUUGGGAUCCACAAUAUGUUUCCAAAAGCUCUUGUCAUGGUCCGUGCCUGCCUGAUCCACAGCCUUGUGGGGAGCUGAGAGGUGGAGGACCGACCCCUGAACUUGAGCAGGACCAUAGGGCUUAGUGCUUGGCUCUGCUGGGUGAGCUGGAAUAAACCAUGAACCUCUUUCGGGA